UACGUAGGGGGCAAGCGUUGUCCGGAUUUAUUGGGCGUAAAGAGCGUGUAGGCGGUCAAAUAGGUCUGCUGUGAAAACUCGAGGCUCAACCUCGAGACGUCGGUUGAAACCGUUUGGCUAGAGUCCGGAAGAGGAGAGUGGAAUUCCCGGUGUAGCGGUGAAAUGCGCAGAUAUCGGGAGGAACACCGGUGGCGAAGGCGGUUCUCUGGGCCUUACCUGACGCUGAGGAGCGAAAGCGUGGGGAGCGAACAGG
RNAcentral lists this ribosomal RNA (253 nucleotides) under uncultured bacterium. RNAcentral describes it as "partial 16S ribosomal RNA". It matches the Rfam family "Bacterial small subunit ribosomal RNA", at positions 524 to 776 of the family's 1533-position model. The record is from RNAcentral.